RNAcentral lists this transfer RNA (91 nucleotides) under Ctenosaura pectinata. RNAcentral's name for it is "tRNA-His". The stretch from base 2 to 70 matches the Rfam family "tRNA". Rfam says of the family: Transfer RNA (tRNA) molecules are approximately 80 nucleotides in length. Their secondary structure includes four short double-helical elements and three loops (D, anti-codon, and T loops). Lineage: Eukaryota; Metazoa; Chordata; Lepidosauria; Squamata; Iguanidae. The record is from RNAcentral.
UGUUAGCAUAGUUUAACAAAAACAUUAGGAUGUGGCCCUAAAAACAGAAGUUCAACUCUCCUUGCAAACCGAGAGGUGUUUCGAACACUAA